Molecule: ribosomal RNA, 301 nt
Filed under: uncultured bacterium
Lineage: Bacteria
Description: partial 16S ribosomal RNA
Rfam family: Bacterial small subunit ribosomal RNA
Source: RNAcentral
CAGUAGCCACGGUAAUACGUAGGUCCCGAGCGUUGUCCGGAUUUAUUGGGCGUAAAGCGAGCGCAGGCGGUUAGAUAAGUCUGAAGUUAAAGGCUGUGGCUUAACCAUAGUACGCUUUGGAAACUGUUUAACUUGAGUGCAAGAGGGGAGAGUGGAAUUCCAUGUGUAGCGGUGAAAUGCGUAGAUACAUGGAGGAACACCGGUGGCGAAAGCGGCUCUCUGGCUUGUAACUGACGCCGAGGCUCGAAAGCGUGGGGAGCAAACAGGAUUAGAUACCCGAGUAGUCCCUGUCUCUUAUACA